Molecule: ribosomal RNA, 273 nt
Filed under: uncultured bacterium
Lineage: Bacteria
Description: partial 16S ribosomal RNA
Rfam family: Bacterial small subunit ribosomal RNA
Source: RNAcentral
AUACGAAGGGGGCUAGCGUUGUUCGGAAUUACUGGGCGUAAAGCGCGUGUAGGCGGAUCGUUAAGUCAGGGGUGAAAGCCCGGGGCUCAACCCCGGAACUGCCCUUGAUACUGGCGAUCUAGAGUCCGGAAGAGGUGGGCGGAAUUCCCGGUGUAGAGGUGAAAUUCGUAGAUAUCGGGAGGAACACCAGUGGCGAAGGCGGCUCACUGGUCCGGUACUGACGCUGAGACGCGAAAGCGUGGGGAGCAAACAGGAUUAGAAACCCUGUAGUCC